UACGAAGGGGGCUAGCGUUGUUCGGAAUUACUGGGCGUAAAGCGCGCGCAGGCGGUCUUCCAAGUCAGAUGUGAAAGCCCCGGGCUUAACCUGGGAACUGCGUUUGAAACUGGGAGACUUGAGUGUGGCAGAGGGGGGUGGAAUUCCACGUGUAGCAGUGAAAUGCGUAGAUAUGUGGAGGAACACCGAUGGCGAAGGCAGCCCCCUGGGUUAACACUGACGCUCAUGCACGAAAGCGUGGGGAGCAAACAGG
RNAcentral lists this ribosomal RNA (253 nucleotides) under uncultured bacterium. RNAcentral's name for it is "partial 16S ribosomal RNA". It matches the Rfam family "Bacterial small subunit ribosomal RNA", at positions 524 to 776 of the family's 1533-position model. The record is from RNAcentral.